This 511-nucleotide ribosomal RNA is filed under the name Bombyx mori (domestic silkworm). Its description in RNAcentral is "partial large subunit ribosomal RNA". The record is from RNAcentral. Lineage: Eukaryota; Metazoa; Arthropoda; Insecta; Lepidoptera; Bombycidae.
GUCUUUUUGUUAAUAAUUUAAAGUCUAGUCUGCCCACUGAUAUAUUUAUUAAAGGGCUGCAGUAUUUUGACUGUACAAAGGUAGCAUAAUCAUUAGUCUUUUAAUUGGUGACUUGUAUGAAAGAUUGGAUGAAAUAUAAACUGUCUCUUUUAUAAAAAAAAAUUGAAUUUAAUUUUUUAAUUAAAAAGUUAAAAUUAUUUAAAAAGACGAGAAGACCCUAUAGAGUUUUAUAAUUUAUUUUGUAAAUAUUUUUAUUUUUAUAUUUUUAUAAUUUUAAAUUAUUUUGUUGGGGUGAUAAAAAAAUUUAAUUAACUUUUUUUAAUAGUUUACAUUAAUAAGUGAUUAAAUGAUCCAAUUUUAUUGAUUAAAAGAAAAAAUUACCUUAGGGAUAACAGCGUAAUUUUUUUUUUUAGUUCAAAUAAAAAGAAAAGUUUGCGACCUCGAUGUUGGAUUAAGAUAAAAUUUAAAUGUAGAAGUUUAAAAUUUUGAUCUGUUCGAUCAUUAAAAUCUU